This is a long non-coding RNA of Drosophila yakuba, 448 nucleotides long. RefSeq lists it as uncharacterized. NCBI's taxonomy places the organism in Eukaryota, Metazoa, Arthropoda, Insecta, Diptera, Drosophilidae. The transcript is spliced from 2 exons. The record is from RefSeq and is a predicted model, not a curated record.
CCUUGUCAAACGAAACGUCACCUGUGGUGCUGGAGAAGGGCUUGGGACCCAAACGUGGCUGUGGAAAAAUGAUAACCACGUAAUAAUUCGCAGAAAUACCAACUGAGACAAACUACAAAUAGUCUGAAUAUACAACGGAUAUCGUAAACAACUGAAAAUGUGCCAAUAAGAAAACAAAACGAAAUGCUAUCAACUGAAAACAUAAUCUCUAGGUGUUUCACAAGAAAACCAAACGCAAACCAACUGCAAAUAAAGUAAAACAAACGUAGAGCACUGAAAUAUGAAUCGGAAGAUGUCGCGACUUUGGUAACAGCAAUUGCCGUCUCAAUACCCGGCAAAAAUGGAAAAAAAUUACCUGAGUUCAACAAAAAAUAAGGAAAAUACAUUAAAACUGUACUUAAAAGUAUAAUAAUCAGCUCAACGAUAUAAUACACAAACAACAAACAAA